GCAGAGUGGAUCCAUGGAAAACACUGGGUAGGAAAAAAAGAAAACCUUGAAAUAUUAGCUUCAAUGAAGGAAAAUCUGGAUAACUUAUUCUUAUGAAUCUGAAACAAUUUAAGAAAACAAAUGACUGCUUGAUUUUUGUGCCAAUUGAAUAGAAUGGGAUUCAAUUUUUAAUAGCAAGUUGGCAUGGCUAAGUAAGGUCCCUGGGAUUCUCUUGCAAUGCCGUGAAAGCAAAAGGACAGCUCUCCUAACAAGAAGCCAAGAUUGCUACAGGAGGCUGAGGAGAGGAAAAAGCCCUUUUCUCAUCACCAUUGAUUCCUUCAGUCUCCAUGAUUUCCUCUCAAGAACUGCCAUUUGUUGCUGUAGAUGGCCCAGUUGCAGACGUGCCUGAGUUCAGCAUAGUGUUGAGGAGAAUCCCAGAGAUCUGAAUCCCAG
Molecule: long non-coding RNA, 432 nt
Filed under: Homo sapiens (human)
Lineage: Eukaryota; Metazoa; Chordata; Mammalia; Primates; Hominidae
Description: HSALNT0347032
Source: RNAcentral